This 360-nucleotide ribosomal RNA is filed under the name uncultured eukaryote. Its description in RNAcentral is "partial 18S ribosomal RNA". It matches the Rfam family "Eukaryotic small subunit ribosomal RNA", at positions 592 to 976 of the family's 1831-position model. The record is from RNAcentral.
CAAUAGCAUAUAUUAACGUUGUUGCAGUUGAAAAGCUCGUAGUUGAACUUUUGGUAGGAGCGACCUGGCCUUGGGCGCAUGCCCUUGUUUGCCGUGUGUCGUAUCUGGCCAUCCUUUUCCGCUUCGGCGGGAAUCCUUUACUGUGAGUAAACUGGAGUGCUCGAAACAAGACGUUUGUUUGGUACAUUAAAGCAUGGAAUAAUAAGAUAGGACCUGGUUACUAUUUUGUUGGUUUGCAUAGCUAGGUAAUGAUUAACAGGGACAGUUGGGGGUAUUCGUAUUUAAUUGUCAGAGGUGAAAUUCUUGGAUUUAUGAAAGACGAACGACUGCGAAAGCAUUUACCAAGGAUGUUUUCAUUAA